CCGGGAAGAACACGGCCGCAAGUCCGACGCGUCGGCAUCGCCGACUUGGGAUUGCGGAUGUGU
The submitters of this non-coding RNA (63 nucleotides) gave its source as unclassified sequences. The record is from Rfam.